GUUUAUUUGUUAACUGGUUCACUUGUCUACUUGUUUGUUUUGGGGAGUACAGAAUGCCCAUUUUGGGUGUUAUUCACGCUUGUGCAAGCAGGGUUUAGAACUGGACAGAUCAGCUACAUGACUGGAUGGCUGAAAAUUUUUAUACAAAAGAAAUCUCACACAUAUUUCCAUCUUUGUUGUGAAUGGCAUCCUAUUUGCAAAGCAGUCAAAAGCAGAGUGAGGCAAAGGUACGUAGAAGGGCAGUAUCAUAUCCAACGUGUCAGUAAACUCUGAUCAAUUCCACUUUAAAUAUGUUAAUUAAAUGCACUCCUUUUUAUGUCUCUUGUCAUUAUGACUUCAGAUUAAUUGCUCUUAGAUGAAUAAGACAAUGCAAAAUAAUUCCUCAACUUUGUUCUUUUUUUUUGUUGUUGUUGUUGUUGUUGCUAAGAGCAGGUGGUGUAGCUGAGUCUGGAACUGUGCUGUUCACAAGACUUCAUGUUCACACCAGCUCCAAGCCAGCGACACAGGCUCUAGAACCUGAUAGAACCCAGCUGCUUAUAGAACUCAACGAGGGAGUACACCUGCUGCAGAUUUUCAGAGCUGCACCCUCAAUAUUGCAGGAACCUGAGAAACCCAUAAGACAUUUGGAAAUGUUCCUCGUACUACUGCAGGGAGUCUGAGGAACUUACCACAAGGAAGGCUGCAAGCAAGAUCUGAAAUGUUUUUGUUUGGAACCUAAGCGAUGCUUGAGGGCAGAAAAUGCACUUCUGAUACUCCAGUCUGCUCAGCCAUCUCCGAUAAAGAAAACCGCCAUCACCACUGCAUCACCAGCCUGUUCCCUGCCGCAGAGCUCCUCUGUCAAAAAAUCAAAUGCUGUUUUAGUCUGAGACCUUGCAUCUCUUUCUUGUCAUAGACCACAGACACUUUACUGAAGAUGCAAGUUAACAGUCUACCAAACACACUGGCUUUCAGUCAUGGUGGUAACUUUCACUCUUCUACAAGAAGCAAACUCUUUUGUCUUCCGGUCUUCUUAGUACUAAUGCAGAAAUUGCUUGGGUGGAUCUGAUCUGUUGUUGGAUUACUCUAGCAUGCUCUUACCCUGUGGAGGUGUGGUCAACAAAGCCCUUACUAUGAAUAAUUUCACUGUAGGCAGUCUUUAUUUUCAGUGCCACAAGGUGGUGGUUAAGUACAGAAGCAGAGGAUGUCUCCAGUAGCUCUUUUAAAAUGCAUAUUACCACUGCAAAUCUUAACUAGUUUCAUUACUUACAUUUCUGUUAAAAAUUUCUAAGCUCUCAUUGAUGUUCUUUGAAAAAACCUGGGAAGAAAAGAAACGGAGAAGUAAAAUCGUGACAAAGCCUUGAAAUUUCUUUAGUGUAUUAGCUGUUCUCCUUAUUCCUCCUGGAUUGCUGCAAAUCAAUGAGAAUAUGUUUUCCACUUAUAAUGAAAUCUAAGGAUGAAAUUCGAUAGAAAUAUGCUUUCAGUGAUACUUUUUUACAAACUUCAACUGAUGAACAGAUGCACAAUGUAAAUGUUUUUAUUUGUACCAUUUUCCAUUUUGCAUUUCUGUGCAGCUCAGAGUAAACCUUCAGUCAGUGUGUUCUUUGGAAUGAGCUUGAAGUGCUUGUUCUAUAUUUUAUACUGAGCUUAGGCUCCUGUCUGCUGCUGACAAAUGGUUUGUUAACAUAUUGUUUUUGAAGCACAAUUUGCAUUUCUGUGAACGGGAGAUUAAGUACUGUGUGUAGAUUAGGAAUAAUUUAUGUCUAAUUAAUAUUAGAUUUUUUUUUCUCUUCUGCUUCAGAUUUUGUUUUGCAGGAGAA
Molecule: long non-coding RNA, 1796 nt
Organism: Numida meleagris (helmeted guineafowl)
Lineage: Eukaryota; Metazoa; Chordata; Aves; Galliformes; Numididae
Source: Ensembl